CCAAAUAAGUCCUCAUUAAUUAUUCAUACACUAUUUUACAGAAAUAGUGAGGACAGCUAAAACAUCUUCCUAGCACCAUCACUGCAUACCCCGACUCGAUCCUGCUAUGUUCUCACCUCCUGAGAAGAAAAAUGGAACAAAAAAGAAAAGGGUGAGCUCAACAAGCCAAGUAAAGAAUAUUAUGACUAAGAUAAUAUACAACAAAUUAUCGUUAGUCUUCAACAGGAAAAAAUCUAACAGAAUACAAUAGACAACAAGUUUUAGAUCAACAAAUGCAGCGGAAACAGCAAUCCAUUAGAAGAGUCACGUAGAGAAAGAAUUCUACUGUCUUCUAAGGUUUAAAAGUCCAUCAUCAAUAGUUUAUCCCUGUAAUAACAAUCAAUAUACAUCUUUAAUCAUCUUUGCACUACAGGCCAAAGAUAUUCAUUUGUAUCACCAGUUGGUCAUGUUCAUCUCAACACCUGUUCAUCUUUGCACUACAGGCCAAAGAUAUUCAUCAGUUAAUCGUUCAUCUUUGCACUACAGGCCAAAGAUAUUCAUUUAUAUCACCAUUUAGGACUGAGGAUGAUGAAAAACAUUUUUAAAGAAACGAAUCCAGUGAAACAAAAUGACAAGGAUUAAGGAUUAAGGAUUCGUACUUUGUUUUACCCAUGUCCAAAAAUACUUCGAAAAUAAUCAUAUUGGUGUAAAAUUCAAGAAUGAUCAAAACAUGGAUACAAUCAAAGCUAGUAUCCAGAAUAGAUAUUUUGGACAAAAAGAAAAAUUUUUAUUUUUCGGUGAAUAGUGCCGUAUUCGUGAAUAGUGUCGUAUACGUGAAUAGUGCCGUAUACGUGAAUAGUAACCCCGACACAACAAGUUCCAAAUUUGAUAAAAAAGUUCACCAAUACUUCGGCAUAAUGAUAUUGAAGAAAAAAUAUCAUUUAAGAAGAAAAUAAUACCCCUUACCUCAAAAUAACCGUACUUCUGACUGAAUUUCGGUAUAGUGCUGACAGAAACCCGCACCGUAUAGCAACACUCAAAGUAUACUCACAAGAAUACGCUCGAUAAUUUAGAGAGAGAAAGAGAGAAAAC
RNAcentral lists this long non-coding RNA (1071 nucleotides) under Panax ginseng (ginseng). Its description in RNAcentral is "long non-coding RNA (PGIN_LNC004513)". Lineage: Eukaryota; Viridiplantae; Streptophyta; Magnoliopsida; Apiales; Araliaceae. The record is from RNAcentral.